GGUCGGGUGGCGCAAUGGUAGCGUGUGGUCCUCCUAAUAAGAAGGUUCCAGACUGAGGUUGUGGGUUCGAGUCCCAUCUCGAUCG
Molecule: transfer RNA, 85 nt
Filed under: Bombardia bombarda
Lineage: Eukaryota; Fungi; Ascomycota; Sordariomycetes; Sordariales; Lasiosphaeriaceae
Rfam family: tRNA
About the family: Transfer RNA (tRNA) molecules are approximately 80 nucleotides in length. Their secondary structure includes four short double-helical elements and three loops (D, anti-codon, and T loops). Further hydrogen bonds mediate the characteristic L-shaped molecular structure. tRNAs have two regions of fundamental functional importance: the anti-codon, which is responsible for specific mRNA codon recognition, and the 3' end, to which the tRNAs corresponding amino acid is attached (by aminoacyl-tRNA synthetases). tRNAs cope with the degeneracy of the genetic code in two manners: having more than one tRNA (with a specific anti-codon) for a particular amino acid; and 'wobble' base-pairing, i.e. permitting non-standard base-pairing at the 3rd anti-codon position.
Source: Rfam by way of RNAcentral